RNAcentral lists this small RNA (991 nucleotides) under Pongo abelii (Sumatran orangutan). RNAcentral's name for it is "retained intron". Lineage: Eukaryota; Metazoa; Chordata; Mammalia; Primates; Hominidae. The record is from RNAcentral.
UGGCCAGGCAUGGUGGCUCACGCCUGUAAUCCCAGCACUUUGGGAAGCUGAUCACCUAAGGUCAGGAGUUUGAGACCAGCCUGGCCAACAUGGCGAAACCCUAUCUCUACUAAAAAUAUAAAAAUUAGCCGGGCAUGGUGGCACGAGCCUGUAUUCCCAGCUACUUGGGAGGCUGAGGCAGGAGGAUCACUUGAACCCGGGAGGCAGAGGCUGUAGUGAGCUGAGAUUGCGCCACCGCACUCCAACCUGGGCGACAGCAAGGCUCCAUCUCAAAAAAAUAAAAAUAAAAAACGGGAUUCUUGUUUGAUCAAAACAAAAGCUUGCAGUUACUAGUAUUAAAAGCAAACACCCAACAAAGUAAAAAGCCCAAACAUGUAUUUGUACUAAAACCUGAAUACACCUACACAUUUAAAGAAGCAUUUUACUUAGAAUUAUAUUUUCCUGUGGAAACUUGAGUAGUGCCAAGAGUAUUUACAUCUUUGACAUCACCUUUACCAUUCACAGACUACUUAAUCUUAGAAUGUGUUUAAUUGAAAGAUAAGCAUACUUAACUAUAGAAUGAUCAGGUUGUUUUAAUAGAGAAGAACUUUGGUUUAAUAUUCUAAUAUUUAACAAAAUACUUUUCCACAGAAUCUACCUGUUACUCGUAUUUUGGACAAUCUUAUGGAGAUGAAGUCAAACCCUGAAACUGAUGACUAUAGAUAUUUUGAUCCCAAAAUGCUGCGGGGCAAUGACAGCUCAGUUCCCAGAAAUAAAAAUCCAUUUCAAGAGGCCAUUGUUUUUGUGGUGGGAGGAGGCAACUACAUUGAAUAUCAGAAUCUUGUUGACUACAUAAAGGGGAAACAAGGCAAACACAUUUUAUAUGGCUGCAGUGAGCUUUUUAAUGCUACACAGUUCAUAAAACAGUUGUCACAACUUGGACAAAAGUAACACAGAAGAACCUUACUAUGAUAAUCUACUUGGAUAAUCUACUUGGAAUGUGGAUAAAUGU